Molecule: ribosomal RNA, 484 nt
Filed under: uncultured bacterium
Lineage: Bacteria
Description: partial 16S ribosomal RNA
Rfam family: Bacterial small subunit ribosomal RNA
Source: RNAcentral
AUUGAACGCUGGCGGCAGGCCUAACACAUGCGAGUCGAGCGGAUGAAGGGAGCUUGCUCCUGGAUUCAGCGGCGGACGGGUGAGUAAUGCCUAGGAAUCUGCCUGGUAGUGGGGGAUAACGUCCGGAAACGGGCGCUAAUACCGCAUACGUCCUGAGGGAGAAAGUGGGGGAUCUUCGGACCUCACGCUAUCAGAUGAGCCUAGGUCGGAUUAGCUAGUUGGUGGGGUAAAGGCCUACCAAGGCGACGAUCCGUAACUGGUCUGAGAGGAUGAUCAGUCACACUGGAACUGAGACACGGUCCAGACUCCUACGGGAGGCAGCAGUGGGGAAUAUUGGACAAUGGGCGAAAGCCUGAUCCAGCCAUGCCGCGUGUGUGAAGAAGGUCUUCGGAUUAUAAAGCACUUUAAGUUGGGAGGAAGGGCAGUAAGUUAAUACCUUGCUGUUUUGACGUUACCAACAGAAUAAGCACCGGCUAACUUCGUG